Molecule: non-coding RNA, 75 nt
Organism: Mytilus trossulus (common blue mussel)
Lineage: Eukaryota; Metazoa; Mollusca; Bivalvia; Mytilida; Mytilidae
Source: the annotation of a RefSeq genome assembly
CCCGUGAAUAGCUCAGUUGGUAGAGCGGGAGACUGUAGAUCUCUAGGUCGGUGGUUCGACUCCGCCCUCACGGGA